AGACUGUCUGUUGUAAGAAGAGGUGUACACUGCAGUGCUCCUGCACUGAGUUCAUCUAUUUGGUCCCUCUGUUCCAAUGGUGAUGGUGUCCAUGCAGAUGAUUCAAGGACCUAUAACCUUACCCACUCUCUUUGCAUCUUCCACUUUUCCCAGGCAUUUGUGAAAUCAUAAAGCAGGCUAUGUAUGGUAUCUCUUACUGUAACGGCAGAACAAAAAUCCUAACUUCUUGGCUUAUCCUGCCAUCUCUGUCUUGGACAGGGCUCUGAGCCCUGGCUCUUGCUUUGUAGACCAGGCUGGCCUUAAACUCACAGAGAUCCACCUGCCUCUGCCUCCCGAGUAUGCUACUAGGCCCAGCUUCACAACAGAUAAAUUCAGCAAACCCAGGUUAUGCUGUCGGUAUCCUUCCACAGAGCUCCCCCACAGACAGCUGGUGGAGUUAACACUCAGCAAGUCCCAUCUCCCAGUACACAGCAAGCCACCAUGUCCUCAUCACUUGCAGAGGAAGGACAAUGCAUGGGGGCUGGCUCUGUGGCAGAUGUUCCUGGAGAGCACUGGAGGCUAGCUGGUCACAGCCUCCAUUGUGGUUAUUCAGCAGGGUGUCAGAGAUGGGCUGAGAUCCUGGUGUGACCCCCAUUACUGGAAGGGCCCCUGGUUGCUAGAGUGCCAGGUGUGGAGGUAUGCUGAAGAGCAGCAGGGGCCACUGUCUGCUGAGCUGCCUGGGACCUGGAUUCUUAUGGCCCUUCUAAGGCUUGUCUUGCCCUUGUUCCUGAUUGGUGCAGGCUGCCUGCUCCCAGGGCCUUGUUGGUUGUCCCCUGGUACUGGAUUCUGCUCUUAGGAUGCUGGGCAGGCAUCUUGUAAGCCAUUCUUUUUCCCCCUUACUUUGUUCACUCAUUACAGUAUCCCUUUACAGCUGCUCUUCUCAGAGUCAGCCUCUCUCUUCUUAAGCUCUGCCCUUCUACCUCGGCCUGACUCCUCCAUCCCCUCAGUGCUGGCCUGUGGAGGUCUCCGGUGGCUUUCUUGUCUGCGCUUUCUCGUGAUGGCAGUGGUCUGCCUCGAGGAUGGAGGAUGAUGUUUCCUCCCAGCUCCCUUCUUUAUCGACUGCUCAGUUCCUCCCAUCCUCUAAAUGGUGAUGUGUCUUCACCCUCAGAAGGUUCUUUUUAAAAGACACACUUGUUUGUGUGGACACAAGUGUGGGAGUCUGCUCUCCUUCCACCGCAUAGGCUCUGGAAAUGGAACUCAGAUUACUAGGCCUGGCUGCAAGCACCAUUGCUUACGAAAGCCUCACACAGACCCUCAGGAGAGUCUUAGUCAACGAUCCUAGGUCUGCAUCUCUGAUACGGCUUGCUCUCCUGUCCCAGAGUUGACCGACACCUGCUUCACCUCUGUGUAGACCUUCAAGGGGCUUUCAUAGUGUACCUAUAAUAUAACUUUUAAACCCCUCCCCCCAAGACAUCAGGCAAAUCUUCCACCACAGAACUGCACCCUGAUUCCCAAGUGUGACUUGAGUCCCUCCUGUCCCCAACUCUACUUUUCUCCGGACCUUCCUUAGUUAGUAACUGGGAAUUCUCUUCUGCUGGGCGCCCAUGCUAACACAUAUGGAAGGGCGCUUAACUUGCCCCCUCCCUGCUGUCACCUUCAUUCAGCCUAUCCGUCAAGGCUCCCAGCAGCUCUUCCCACCCUUCCCUCAAGCCCAGGGCCCGUGUCUCUUCCUUGGGGUCAUGGAGGAUGGCUCUUCAGAUUUCACACUCUGCAGACUACAAUGACCCAUUUAUCAUAGGUUCUCCGUGUGACUCUCUACUUCAGAAAGUGUCUUGUCACAUGCGUGGUAAUCUCCAGCCCUCACCAUGGAGCCCAGACCUUCUUCUGUGCCCUCCCUUCUCCCUCCCCUCACUCUCUAGAAGACUAUAUAAAGAACCUGAUUGGGCAGUUCAUGGAUGGUCAAAGAGUAUAGGGUUGGCCGGUCAGCCUUCCUGACCACUGACCACCCGUGGCACUGGAGAGCAGGGGUCAUCCUGGAGAUGGGUGCAGAAGCACUCAUGGGUGUUGAUGGAUCUGAGGAUGUUUUGUCAAGGAGUAUCAGAGAGCCUUGAUAUUUUCACGGCUUUUAAGCUCCAUAGGCAGUGUUUAGGAAUAAGUGGUUAACUACAGAGCCAUUUAUCUAUACUUCUCAGGAAGCUGAAAUAAUACAGUGGUGAAUAGAACAUCAGUUCUGGCCUGCUUAUGCAAUGAAUCCUCCAAAGUUUCUCUCAACACAUACUGUAUAUAUUACAAGUAAAAAUACCCAGUUUUAUAAAUAUAGGUAAAAAUGAAUAUCUAUAUUCAGAAAAGAAGUGUUAUGAAAUAAAGCUUUAGAUUUGACCAGCGUUCGAUGGAUGAGGUUAGAAGCAAUCAUUAGUCUAUUUUGAAGUCAGCAUUUAUUUUUAACUUUUACAUUUAGCAGGGCGUGUGUGUGUGUGUGUGUGUGUGUGUGUGUGUGUGUGUGUGCGCGCGCGCGCCAUGGUGUGGGAGUGGACAACUUGUGGAAGUUGGUUCUCUCCAUUUCAAACUCAGCUCAUUAGGCUUGGCAGCAGAAACAUUUACUCACUGCCUUGUUACAUUUAUCUGUCUGUCUGUCUGUCUGUCUGUCUGUCUGUUUAUGAGACAGACUCAGAAUCAUGGGGAUGGGUGUUUCACUUGGGGAUUGGAGGAUGGGUGGUGUAAGCUUCAGGUGGCCUGGAGGAUCUGCCCCCUCUGUCUAAUCCAAUCAGCCUCCUGCUUAUCAGCUCACCCAGCGUCCCACAGUCUCUGUGCAGGAGUCUGCCAUGCUCAUAUCCCUCCUGACCUCUGAACACUAAGCCGUGCUUGCUUUGUUCCCAACCCCUCAUCCCGGGCGUCGCCUGUGGUUACUCGGUAGCCUUACUGAUUUCCACUGCACACAUGUAGAUUAUUGGAAUAGUUCAUGUGUGCUGAGCAUUUCUAAAAAAAAAAAAACAAGGCUCCCGUGAUGAGUAACUGGCAGCUUCGGUUCCCAGAGAGCAUUUGGGGGAUAAAAACACCAAAGCACUCCUUUAAGAAAACCCAAAACAUUAGAGGUUAGAUACGCCUAAUGUUUUCAGUAGCUUUAUUCAUCAUGUUCUGCAAACUGGCAAUCUUGAUGUCCAUCAACUGGUAAGUGGGCCAGUGAACUAGAAUACAGCUAUACAAGUGGGACAUUUGUACAGCUACGGUACUGCUAAAAGAGUUGAGAAUUUCUCUGACG
RNAcentral lists this long non-coding RNA (3238 nucleotides) under Mus musculus (house mouse). Its description in RNAcentral is "long non-coding RNA chr18:65675276-65678514". The record is from RNAcentral. Lineage: Eukaryota; Metazoa; Chordata; Mammalia; Rodentia; Muridae.